This 552-nucleotide long non-coding RNA is filed under the name Erythranthe guttata (spotted monkey flower). RNAcentral's name for it is "long non-coding RNA (EGUT_LNC003217)". Lineage: Eukaryota; Viridiplantae; Streptophyta; Magnoliopsida; Lamiales; Phrymaceae. The record is from RNAcentral.
UAUGAAGCGUCUCUCACUUGGGCAGAAUUCCAUUUCUAUGGACACUACAAAAUUCUUUGUUUCUAGAUUGUUGUAUCUCUCGAUUCACAUCAACCUUCCGAGGCAUUCUUGUCGGUUCCUUCCAGUUUCGUGUCAUAAUAUGGUAUUUUUCGCACUCUCUGUUUCUUGAUUUUUAUUUAUUUAUGUUUAUACCAUAAAAACCCUAAUUUAAUUCAGUUAAUUUACUCUGUAGUAUUGCAGAUUCUUUUUUUAUAAUGACUUUUGGGGUUUGUAUUCAUUGCCCAGUAGAAAGAGAUGCGGACAAAAAUCAUUCUCUCUUCCGAAUUUGCUAUCUCUAUCUUUUUCAUAUAUGUUCCAAUUAUUACACUCUACUUGUAUUUGUUAAUACAUGUAUAUAUCUAUCUAAGAAUACAAGUCUGUUAUGGGGGAAAAUUGUUAUCUUGAUUUCUACAUGGCUUUUGAGGAUUAACUAGAUAAAUCAUAGUUCUUAUUUCCAAAAUUUUAUUGCCGUAUGUCCUCAAUUGAAUUUCAUUUUUCAUUUAUUAUGUUAGU